This 438-nucleotide ribosomal RNA is filed under the name uncultured bacterium. RNAcentral describes it as "partial 16S ribosomal RNA". It matches the Rfam family "Bacterial small subunit ribosomal RNA", at positions 355 to 779 of the family's 1533-position model. The record is from RNAcentral.
UGGGGAAUUUGGAUCAAUGGGAACCCGAUCGAUCCAGCCCAUCCCGCCGUGUGCGAUGAAGGCCUUCGGGUUGUAAAGCACUUUUGGCAGGAAAGAAACGUCGCGGGUUAAUACCCCGCGAACAUGACGGUACCUGCAGAAUAAGCACCGGCUAACUACGUGCCAGCAGCCGCGGUAAUACGUAGGGUGCAAGCGUUAAUCGGAAUUACUGGGCGUAAAGCGUGCGCAGGCGGUUCGGAAAGAAAAGAUGUGAAAUCCCCAGAGCUUAACUUUGGAACUGCAUUUUUAACUACCGGGCUAGAGUGUGUCAGAGGGAGGUGGAAUUCCGCGUGUAGCAGUGAAAUGCGUAGAUAUGCGGAGGAACACCGAUGGCGAAGGCAGCCUCCUGGGAUAACACUGACGCUCAUGCACGAAAAGCGUGGGGAGCAAAACAGGAUU